Molecule: ribosomal RNA, 460 nt
Filed under: uncultured bacterium
Lineage: Bacteria
Description: partial 16S ribosomal RNA
Rfam family: Bacterial small subunit ribosomal RNA
Source: RNAcentral
CCUACGGGAGGCAGCAGUGAGGAAUAUUGGUCAAUGGACGAGAGUCUGAACCAGCCAAGUAGCGUGAAGGAUGACUGCCCUAUGGGUUGUAAACUUCUUUUAUAUGGGAAUAAAACGUUCCACGUGUGGGAUUUUGUAUGUACCAUAUGAAUAAGGAUCGGCUAACUCCGUGCCAGCAGCCGCGGUAAUAAGGGGGAUCCGAGCGUUAUCCGGAUUUAUUGGGUUUAAAGGGAGCGUAGGUGGAUUUUUAAGUCAGUUGUGAAAGUUUGCGGCUCAAACGUAAAAUUGCAGUUGAAACUGGCAGUCUUGAGUACAGUAGAGGUGGGCGGAAUUCGUGGUGUAGCGGUGAAAUGCUUAGAUAUCACGAAGAACUCCGAUUGCGAAGGCAGUUCACUGGACUGCAACUGACACUGAGGCUCGAAAGUGUGGGUAUCAAACAGGAUUAGAUACCCUUGUAGUC